GCCUUCGUGGUGCAGUGGUCAGCACGCUCGACGCGUAUUCGAGAGGUACCCGGUUCGAGUCCCGGCGAGGGCA
Molecule: transfer RNA, 73 nt
Filed under: Stegodyphus dumicola
Lineage: Eukaryota; Metazoa; Arthropoda; Arachnida; Araneae; Eresidae
Description: tRNA-Thr
Rfam family: tRNA
About the family: Transfer RNA (tRNA) molecules are approximately 80 nucleotides in length. Their secondary structure includes four short double-helical elements and three loops (D, anti-codon, and T loops). Further hydrogen bonds mediate the characteristic L-shaped molecular structure. tRNAs have two regions of fundamental functional importance: the anti-codon, which is responsible for specific mRNA codon recognition, and the 3' end, to which the tRNAs corresponding amino acid is attached (by aminoacyl-tRNA synthetases). tRNAs cope with the degeneracy of the genetic code in two manners: having more than one tRNA (with a specific anti-codon) for a particular amino acid; and 'wobble' base-pairing, i.e. permitting non-standard base-pairing at the 3rd anti-codon position.
Source: RNAcentral